Molecule: microRNA precursor, 98 nt
Filed under: Bombyx mori (domestic silkworm)
Lineage: Eukaryota; Metazoa; Arthropoda; Insecta; Lepidoptera; Bombycidae
Description: microRNA bmo-mir-2771 precursor
Source: miRBase by way of RNAcentral
UCCCAACUUUUAACAUUACGAGGAUGGGUUUAGUUAGGGGAGUCCCAACUGAGUGGUCCCCUGAAGAUAUUAUGCAGAACACUAAUGUACCCAUUGGG